This is a long non-coding RNA of Gorilla gorilla gorilla (western lowland gorilla), 728 nucleotides long. RefSeq lists it as uncharacterized. Lineage: Eukaryota; Metazoa; Chordata; Mammalia; Primates; Hominidae. The record is from RefSeq and is a predicted model, not a curated record. The transcript is spliced from 2 exons.
UAGGAGUUUUCUACUUUUCACUUUUCCUGAUUCUAAAGAAGUGUAACCUAGUCUUCUCAAAACAAUGGGCCGGCUUCUUACGCUGUAUCUACCUAGACAACUAUGGAGACUCAGUCUUUGCUCAGUUGUUACCAACUCAGAAGCAAAACUGAACUGUCUGACCUUCAAAAGCUUGGUCAGGAUAGGUCAACAGUUCUUACUUAUUUAUCUUGACUCUUAAUGAUGUUCAUUACCAGAGUUCUGGAAAAUAAGGAAAAAGAAGUUUAAAUAAAUUACAUCAUGAACAAAACUGCAGUAUGCCAGUUCAUAUCCUCAUGACCUCACGAUUCUGCCUGAGCUCCACAUCAAUGAAAGGAAAAUCGGAUAACGAAGCACUUAGUCUAAUAUCUCAAUAGCAACCAUCAAUUAGGAUUACUUUUUAGAAAAGAAAAAAAAAACCUAACCUUAUAUGUAAAUCUAUCUAGUGUGCAAAUGACAUAAUGCUUAUAUGUAUGUAAAUCUAUCUAGUGUGCAAAUGACUUAAUGCCGGGGUGGGUAAACUGUGGCCGAGAGUACCCCAAAUCCAGCCCACUCCUGCUUUUGUAAUAAUUCACCAGCUAAGAAAUGUUUUCAUAUUUUUUUAAUAAUUGGGAAAAAUAUAUACAUUUUGUGACAUGUGAAAAACCACACAAAAUUCAAAUGUCAGUGCUUGUAAAUAAAGUUAUAUUGGAAGCAUCCUCAUUCAUUAA